CUGACAUAUGUAGUCAAUGCGUGAGUAAACCUAAAAGGCGCAAGGAAACUUAUUAACGAGAUCUCGCACAGGUGCACCGCCGACCGACCUUGAUCUUCAGAGAAGGGUUCGAGUGUGAGCAUGCCUGUCGGGAAAGAUGGUGAGCUUUGCCUGAGUGCAGCAAAGCUAGAAUAAACUCUGGUGGAGGCCCGCAGCGAUAAUGACAUACACGUUGUUCGUCAGAAUUGAGUAUAGGGGUGAAAGACUAAUCAAACCAUCUAGUAGCU
This 266-nucleotide non-coding RNA is filed under the name Eutrema salsugineum. RNAcentral's name for it is "Eukaryotic large subunit ribosomal RNA". It matches the Rfam family "Eukaryotic large subunit ribosomal RNA", at positions 675 to 952 of the family's 3401-position model. The record is from Rfam by way of RNAcentral. Lineage: Eukaryota; Viridiplantae; Streptophyta; Magnoliopsida; Brassicales; Brassicaceae.